UGGCUCAGGAUGAACGCUAGCGGCAGGCUUAAUACAUGCAAGUCGUGGGGCAGCAUGAGUAGCAAUACUUGAUGGCGACCGGCAAACGGGUGGGGAACACGUACACAACCUUCCUUCAAGCGGGGAAUAGCCCAGAGGAAUUUGGAUUAAUACCCCAUAAUAUAUUUGAUAAGGCAUCUUAUUAAUAUUAAAGCUUCGGCACUUGAUGAUGGGUGUGCGGCUGAUUAGAUAGUUGGCGGGGUAACGGCCCACCAAGUCUACGAUCAGUAGCUGAUGUGAGAGCAUGAUCAGCCACACGGGCACUGAGACACGGGCCCGACUCCUACGGGAGGCAGCAGUAAGGAAUAUUGGACAAUGGACGAAAGUCUGAUCCAGCCAUGCCGCGUGAAGGAUUAAGGUCCUCUGGAUUGUAAACUUCUUUUAUAUGGGACGAAAAAAGGGCAUUCUUGUUCACUUGACGGUACCAUAUGAAUAAGCACCGGCUAACUCCGUG
Molecule: ribosomal RNA, 493 nt
Filed under: uncultured bacterium
Lineage: Bacteria
Description: bacterial SSU rRNA
Rfam family: Bacterial small subunit ribosomal RNA
Source: RNAcentral